Molecule: ribosomal RNA, 802 nt
Filed under: Streptomyces sp.
Lineage: Bacteria; Bacillati; Actinomycetota; Actinomycetes; Kitasatosporales; Streptomycetaceae
Description: bacterial SSU rRNA
Rfam family: Bacterial small subunit ribosomal RNA
Source: RNAcentral
AGUCGACGAUGAAGCCUUUCGGGGUGGAUUAGUGGCGAACGGGUGAGUAACACGUGGGCAAUCUGCCCUUCACUCUGGGACAAGCCCUGGAAACGGGGUCUAAUACCGGAUAAUACUCUGUCCUGCAUGGGAUGGGGUUGAAAGCUCCGGCGGUGAAGGAUGAGCCCGCGGCCUAUCAGCUUGUUGGUGGGGUGAUGGCCUACCAAGGCGACGACGGGUAGCCGGCCUGAGAGGGCGACCGGCCACACUGGGACUGAGACACGGCCCAGACUCCUACGGGAGGCAGCAGUGGGGAAUAUUGCACAAUGGGCGAAAGCCUGAUGCAGCGACGCCGCGUGAGGGAUGACGGCCUUCGGGUUGUAAACCUCUUUCAGCAGGGAAGAAGCGAGAGUGACGGUACCUGCAGAAGAAGCGCCGGCUAACUACGUGCCAGCAGCCGCGGUAAUACGUAGGGCGCAAGCGUUGUCCGGAAUUAUUGGGCGUAAAGAGCUCGUAGGCGGCUUGUCACGUCGGUUGUGAAAGCCCGGGGCUUAACCCCGGGUCUGCAGUCGAUACGGGCAGGCUAGAGUGUGGUAGGGGAGAUCGGAAUUCCUGGUGUAGCGGUGAAAUGCGCAGAUAUCAGAGGAACACCGGUGGCGAAGGCGGAUCUCUGGGCCAUUACUGACGCUGAGGAGCGAAAGCGUGGGGAGCGAACAGGAUUAGAUACCCUGGUAGUCCACGCCGUAAACGUUGGGAACUAGGUGUUGGCGACAUUCCACGUCGUCGGUGCCGCAGCUAACGCAUUAAGUUCCCCGCCUGGGGA